RNAcentral lists this ribosomal RNA (595 nucleotides) under Lytocarpia delicatula. Its description in RNAcentral is "partial large subunit ribosomal RNA". It matches the Rfam family "Bacterial large subunit ribosomal RNA", at positions 1833 to 2597 of the family's 2925-position model. Lineage: Eukaryota; Metazoa; Cnidaria; Hydrozoa; Leptothecata; Aglaopheniidae. The record is from RNAcentral.
GCCCUAAAUAAAAAAUUUAAGGUGUAACCUGCCCAAUGGUUUAAGCUAAUUUUAAUAAAAAUAAAAAUAAAAAACUUAAUGGCUGCAGUAACCAUGACUGUAAGAAAGUAGCAUAAUAAUUCGCCACCUAAUUAGUGGAUGGUAUGAAUGGUUGAACGAAAAUUCCACUGUCUUAUAUAAUUAAUAAAAAAUUUAAGUUACAGUUAAGAUGCUGUAUAAAAUUGUAAGACGAAAAGACCCUAUAAAGCUUAACUAUAACCCUUUAUAAAAUAAUUUAAGAAAUUAAAAAUAAAAAUAAAGGAUUGGUAGUUUCAUUGGGGCGAUGAUCUCUAAAAAAAAACAGAGAUAAUUCUAAAAUAUAAUUAUUUUACUGUAUAACAAAUAUAUUUAACAGUUACUAAGUAGGAUAUAAUGACCCACUAUUUAAUCAAAUAAAAAAAUAGUGAUCAAUAAAUAAAAGCUACUUUAGGGAUAACAGGAUAAUAUUUUCUUAGAGCUCCUAUCGAAGAAAAAGUUUAUCACCUCGAUGUUGAAUUAAGAUAACCUCAUGAUGCAGACGUCAUGGAAGGCAGGUCUGUUCGACCUUUAAUAUCUU